This 327-nucleotide ribosomal RNA is filed under the name uncultured eukaryote. RNAcentral describes it as "partial 18S ribosomal RNA". It matches the Rfam family "Eukaryotic small subunit ribosomal RNA", at positions 1470 to 1796 of the family's 1831-position model. The record is from RNAcentral.
CCCUUAGAUGUUCUCGGCCGCACACGCGCUACACUGAAAGAGGCAACGUGUUUGCCUGAUUCGAAAGAAUUGGGUAACCCCCUAACCUCUUUCGUGCUGGGGAUUGAGGUUUGCAAUUAUCCUUCAUGAACGAGGAAUUCCCAGUAAGUGCGAGUCAUUAUCUCGCGCUGACUACGUCCCUGCCCUUUGUACACACCGCCCGUCGCUACUACCGAUUGAAUGAUUUAGUGAGGACUUCGGACUGAGUCCAAUGCGGCUUUCGGGCUGCGUUGGUAUUUCGGAAAGAUGUCCAAACUGUAUCAUUUAGAGGAAGUAAAAGUCGUAACA